UAGGGAAUCUUCCGCAAUGGACGCAAGUCUGACGGAGCAACGCCGCGUGAGUGAAGAAGGUUUUCGGAUCGUAAAACUCUGUUGUUAGAGAAGAACAAGUGCUAGAGUAACUGUUAGCGCCUUGACGGUAUCUAACCAGAAAGCCACGGCUAACUACGUGCCAGCAGCCGCGGUAAUACGUAGGUGGCAAGCGUUGUCCGGAUUUAUUGGGCGUAAAGCGAGCGCAGGCGGUUCCUUAAGUCUGAAGUUAAAGGCUGUGGCUUAACCAUAGUACGCUUUGGAAACUGUUUAACUUGAGUGCAAGAGGGGAGAGUGGAAUUCCAUGUGUAGCGGUGAAAUGCGUAGAUAUAUGGAGGAACACCGGUGGCGAAAGCGGCUCUCUGGUCUGUAACUGACGCUGAGGCUCGAAAGCGUGGGGAGCGAACAGGAUUAGAUACCCUGGUAGUCCACGCCGUAAACGAUGAGUGCUAGGUGUUGGAUCCUUUCCGGGAUUCAGUGCCGCAGCUAACGCAUUAAGCACUCCGCCUGGGGAGUACGACCGCAAGGUUG
Molecule: ribosomal RNA, 549 nt
Filed under: uncultured bacterium
Lineage: Bacteria
Description: bacterial SSU rRNA
Rfam family: Bacterial small subunit ribosomal RNA
Source: RNAcentral